CCCAAACCGUUUUUAACAUCUUAGGUCACUCAGAAACGAGUAUCACCGGUUUGAAGGAGGGCACAGACAGCUCAAUGAUUCAGCUGGUGGAACUACAAAAAUGUAGCACAGAGCCUUCAGCAGAGGAAUGGGGACCGUCGACAUGGCAGGUGGGCGACCCUCAGCCCGAAGCGCCUCAUUCCUUCUGCUGCCACCGCAGCUGCUCCAACACCAUCCCUAGUAGACCAAAAACUGGAGAUGGAUGUCCUAAAGCAGCAGAAAAUAGUACUCCAUCUACAGGAGGAGUACUACAAACUAAAAAUUGAGCUACUCAAAAAUAAAACUAAUAACAAAUAA
This is a long non-coding RNA of Perca fluviatilis (European perch), 336 nucleotides long. RefSeq lists it as uncharacterized. NCBI's taxonomy places the organism in Eukaryota, Metazoa, Chordata, Actinopteri, Perciformes, Percidae. The transcript is spliced from 2 exons. The record is from RefSeq and is a predicted model, not a curated record.